RNAcentral lists this ribosomal RNA (641 nucleotides) under uncultured Vibrio sp. RNAcentral describes it as "bacterial SSU rRNA". It matches the Rfam family "Bacterial small subunit ribosomal RNA", at positions 50 to 670 of the family's 1533-position model. Lineage: Bacteria; Pseudomonadati; Pseudomonadota; Gammaproteobacteria; Vibrionales; Vibrionaceae. The record is from RNAcentral.
AACACAUGCAAGUCGAGCGGAAACGAGUUAACUGACCCUUCGGGUGACGUUAGCGGCGUCGAGCGGCGGACGGGUGAGUAAUGCCUGGGAAAUUGCCCUGAUGUGGGGGAUAACCAUUGGAAACGAUGGCUAAUACCGCAUAAUAGCUUCGGCUCAAAGAGGGGGACCUUCGGGCCUCUCGCGUCAGGAUAUGCCCAGGUGGGAUUAGCUAGUUGGUGAGGUAAUGGCUCACCAAGGCGACGAUCCCUAGCUGGUNUGAGAGGAUGAUCAGCCACACUGGAACUGAGACACGGUCCAGACUCCUACGGGAGGCAGCAGUGGGGAAUAUUGCACAAUGGGCGCAAGCCUGAUGCAGCCAUGCCGCGUGUGUGAAGAAGGCCUUCGGGUUGUAAAGCACUUUCAGCAGUGAGGAAGGCGGGUACGUUAAUAGCGUAUUCGUUUGACGUUAGCUGCAGAAGAAGCACCGGCUAACUCCGUGCCAGCAGCCGCGGUAAUACGGAGGGUGCGAGCGUUAAUCGGAAUUACUGGGCGUAAAGCGCAUGCAGGUGGUUCGUUAAGUCAGAUGUGAAAGCCCGGGGCUCAACCUCGGAACUGCAUUUGAAACUGGCGGACUAGAGUACUGUAGAGGGGGGUAGAAUUUC